RNAcentral lists this transfer RNA (69 nucleotides) under Syneta adamsi. Its description in RNAcentral is "tRNA-Met". It matches the Rfam family "tRNA". Rfam says of the family: Transfer RNA (tRNA) molecules are approximately 80 nucleotides in length. Their secondary structure includes four short double-helical elements and three loops (D, anti-codon, and T loops). Lineage: Eukaryota; Metazoa; Arthropoda; Insecta; Coleoptera; Chrysomelidae. The record is from RNAcentral.
AAGCAGGUAAGCUAAAUAAGCUAUUGGGUUCAUACCCCAUUUAUGAAGGUUUUAACCCUUUCCUUUUUA